This 530-nucleotide ribosomal RNA is filed under the name Microbispora bryophytorum. RNAcentral describes it as "bacterial SSU rRNA". It matches the Rfam family "Bacterial small subunit ribosomal RNA", at positions 31 to 581 of the family's 1533-position model. Lineage: Bacteria; Bacillati; Actinomycetota; Actinomycetes; Streptosporangiales; Streptosporangiaceae. The record is from RNAcentral.
GAACGCUGGCGGCGUGCUUAACACAUGCAAGUCGAGCGGAAAGGCCCUUCGGGGUACUCGAGCGGCGAACGGGUGAGUAACACGUGAGUAACCUGCCCCUGACUCUGGGAUAAGCCUGGGAAACCGGGUCUAAUACCGGAUACGACCAUUUCUCGCAUGUGAUGGUGGUGGAAAGUUUUUUCGGUUGGGGAUGGGCUCGCGGCCUAUCAGCUUGUUGGUGGGGUGAUGGCCUACCAAGGCGACGACGGGUAGCCGGCCUGAGAGGGCGACCGGCCACACUGGGACUGAGACACGGCCCAGACUCCUACGGGAGGCAGCAGUGGGGAAUAUUGCGCAAUGGGCGGAAGCCUGACGCAGCGACGCCGCGUGGGGGAUGACGGCCUUCGGGUUGUAAACCUCUUUCAGCAGGGACGAAGUUGACGUGUACCUGUAGAAGAAGCGCCGGCUAACUACGUGCCAGCAGCCGCGGUAAUACGUAGGGCGCAAGCCUUGUCCGGAAUUAUUGGGCGUAAAGAGCUCGUAGGUGGCUU